CGGGGCGUAGCGCAGCUGGCUAGCGCACCUGGUUUGGGACCAGGGGGUCGACAGUUCAAAUCUGUCCGCCCCGACCA
Molecule: transfer RNA, 77 nt
Filed under: Candidatus Omnitrophota bacterium
Lineage: Bacteria; Pseudomonadati; Candidatus Omnitrophota
Description: Candidatus Omnitrophica bacterium tRNA-Pro
Rfam family: tRNA
About the family: Transfer RNA (tRNA) molecules are approximately 80 nucleotides in length. Their secondary structure includes four short double-helical elements and three loops (D, anti-codon, and T loops).
Source: RNAcentral